Molecule: long non-coding RNA, 594 nt
Filed under: Setaria italica (foxtail millet)
Lineage: Eukaryota; Viridiplantae; Streptophyta; Magnoliopsida; Poales; Poaceae
Description: long non-coding RNA (SITA_LNC001601)
Source: RNAcentral
CACCAUUUCCUCGAUGGGCACGUUCUUGGUCUCCGGCAGGAAGAGCGCGACGAAGAUGGUCAUGACCACCACCCAGGCGCCGAAGAAGAAGAAGAGGAUGAACUUGAAGCGGCAAAGCAUGGGGAGGAACGCCUGCGCGAUGAUGAAGGUGCAGAGCAUGUUGACGGACACGUUGAUGCUCUGCCCCGCCGACCGGAUCUCCAGCGGGAAGAUCUCGCUGGGCACCAGCCACCCGAGGGGUCCCCAUGACCAGGCGAACCCGGCCACGUAGGCGCAGAUGAAGAGCACCACGAUGGCGGCGUACGCCUUGGGGAUCUCCGCCACGCCGGAGAACCCGAACUUGGCGCCGAUCAGGCUACCGACGACGAUCUGGCAGGCGAGCAUCUGGGUCCCGCCCUGCAGGAACAGCUUGCGGCGGCCGAGGCGGUCCACGGUGACGAUGGAGACGAAGGUGGCGAAGACGUUGACGAGCCCCGUGAUGACGGCGGACAUGAGGGAGGCGUCGUCUGCGAAGCCCAGCGUCUUGAAGAGCACCGGUGCGUAGAACAUGAUGACGUUGAUGCCGGUGAGCUGCUGGAACAUGGGGAUGGCGAU